RNAcentral lists this ribosomal RNA (440 nucleotides) under uncultured bacterium. RNAcentral describes it as "partial 16S ribosomal RNA". It matches the Rfam family "Bacterial small subunit ribosomal RNA", at positions 338 to 795 of the family's 1533-position model. The record is from RNAcentral.
CCUACGGGAGGCAGCAGUAGGGAAUAUUGCUCAAUGGGGGAAACCCUGAAGCAGCAACGCCGCGUGGAGGAUGAAGGUUUUCGGAUUGUAAACCCCUUUUGUUAGAGAAGAGAAUGACGGUAUCUAACGAAUAAGCACCGGCUAACGCCGUGACAGCAGCCGCGGUAAUACGGAGGGCGCAAGCGUUACUCGGAAUCACUGGGCGUAAAGGGCGCGUAGGCGGGAUAGCAAGUCAGAUGUGAAAUCCUAUGGCUUAACCAUAGAACUGCAUUUGAAACUGUUAUUCUAGAGUAUGGGAGAGGUAGGUGGAAUUCUUGGUGUAGGGGUGAAAUCCGUAGAGAUCAAGAGGAAUACUCAUUGCGAAGGCGACCUGCUAGAACAUAACUGACGCUGAUGCGCGAAAGCGUGGGGAGCAAACAGGAUUAGAUACCCCAGUAGUC